ACAAUCUUACUUGAACAAGACCUAUCCAUACUUUCAUAGGUUUUACAACUGUCAUUGAGUUCUAAGGAGACAAGAACCAAAGUCUGGUGGAUGAAUUACUGCCUUGUGGCUACUGCAUGAUUAACGCUAACGGGUCUUGGUCCAGCAGCUGUAGAGGAUCGUUCUUGACAGGCUCUAACCUGCUGGGAUGGCCACAAGGCUGUCUGACAGACU
Cucumis sativus (cucumber) is the source of this 213-nucleotide non-coding RNA. NCBI's taxonomy places the organism in Eukaryota, Viridiplantae, Streptophyta, Magnoliopsida, Cucurbitales, Cucurbitaceae. The record is from Rfam.